Molecule: unclassified non-coding RNA, 2392 nt
Filed under: Actinia tenebrosa (Australian red waratah sea anemone)
Lineage: Eukaryota; Metazoa; Cnidaria; Anthozoa; Actiniaria; Actiniidae
Description: 5'-3' exoribonuclease 2-like, transcript variant X2
Source: RNAcentral
CAUUUUGUAAAAUNUUUGGAAAAAUUAUCUCUUUGUCUUUUGAGUGAAAAACUGUUCUUUUGAGUUCAAUAUUCGAUAGAUUUUAACUNAUAACUGACAGAAUGGGAGUUCCAGCGUUUUUUCGUUGGCUUUCGAGGAAAUAUCCGUCGAUUGUCGUGCAUUGCGUUGAAGAAAAGGCUAAAGAAGUAGAUGGAGUAAAGUUCCCUGUGGAUACAAGUGGUCCAAAUCCAAAUGACUAUGAAUUUGAUAAUCUUUAUCUGGACAUGAAUGGAAUCAUUCAUCCAUGUUGUCACCCAGAAAAUAAACCUGCUCCCAAGAAUGAAGAUGAGAUGAUGUUAGCUAUCUUUGAAUAUAUCGACAGAAUCUUUGCCAUUGUCAGACCAAGAAAGUUNUUGUAUAUGGCUAUUGAUGGAGUGGCUCCCAGAGCUAAAAUGAACCAACAGAGAUCAAGGCGAUUCCGAGCUUCAAAGGAAAGCAGAGAAAAAAGUGAAGAAAUGGCUAAAAUAAGAAGCGAGCUAGCAGCAAAAGGAGCUUUGCUGCCUCCAGAAAAAGAUAAAACAGAGCAUUUUGAUAGUAACUGCAUUACUCCUGGCACAGAGUUUAUGGCCAAUUUGUCUGUGUGUCUGGGUUAUUACAUAACUGACAGACUAAAUAAUGACCCUGGAUGGAAAAACAUUAAGGUGAUCUUAUCAGAUGCCAAUGUACCAGGGGAGGGAGAGCAUAAAAUCAUGGAUUUUAUCAGGAAACAAAGAGCCAGCCCAGGCCAUGAUCCGAACACCAAGCAUUGCUUGAAUGGUGCAGAUGCUGAUUUAAUCAUGUUAGGCCUUGCUACUCAUGAACCUCAUUUCACCAUUAUCAGAGAAGAAUUCAAGCCAAACCAGAAGAGACCUUGUGAGCUUUGUGGACAAGUUGGUCAUGAAAUGGCAGAGUGCACAGGACUUCCAAAGGAAAAACAAGGAGAGUUUGAUGAGCUUUCCAAGCCAGUCAGCCAAGAGGUGGAGUUCAUCUUCAUAAGGAUUAAUGUUUUAAGAGAGUAUCUGGAAAGAGACUUGAGAUUGGAAAACCUACCUUUUGCCUAUGACUUUGAGAGAUGUGUAGAUGAUUGGGUUUUCAUGUGUUUCUUUGUUGGGAAUGACUUUCUGCCUCAUUUGCCUUCCUUAGAGAUCAGAGAGGGUGCAAUUGACAGGCUUGUAAAGUUUUACAAGAACGUUGUUCCCAGAUGUGGGGGUUACAUAACAAAGGAUGGAUUUGUGGAUUUAAAUAAAGUACAGCUAGUACUUCAAGAGCUUGGUUACGUUGAAGAUGAAAUUUUCAAAAAGAGACAACAGGAUAAUAUUGCAUUCAAGCAAAGAUUAAAGGCCAAAAAAGAUAGAGAAAAGAGGCAAAAAAUGAAUGGUAAUCCUCUGUGGACACCUGAUGGUCAGUUCAGUCCCCAUGCCCUUGGGUUCGGUACGAUUCCUGGAGCUAUCUCAUCACCAAGACAACAAGCCUUUGACAUGCGAAGACAAGGAAUGAAUUACACCCAAGACAGAGCCAACCAUACUGCAGCUGCUGACCUCAGAUCAAUGUUAACCAAGGGUGAAGAAACUAAGGGUGAGGCUAGUUCAAGUAGUAGCCAAGACAAUCCAUCCACGUCUGCACAGAGUAACAAAAGAAAGCUUGAAGAUGAUGACGAGGAGAAAGAUCCACCUGAUAACAUCAGGUUAUGGGAAGAUGGAUGGAAAGAGAGGUAUUAUACCAACAAGUUUGGUGUCAGUGAAGCAGAUGAAAGCUAUGAAGACUUUAGGACAAAAGUGGCUGAUGCUUAUGUGGAGGGUCUUUGCUGGGUGUUACAGUAUUACUACCAGGGAUGUCCAUCGUGGAAGUGGUAUUAUCCUUACCACUAUGCUCCCUUUGCUUCUGAUUUCCGCGACAUUGGAAGACUCAAAUCUACAUUUGAACGAGGAACAAAGCCAUUUAAGCCGCUGGAACAGCUGAUGGGUGUGUUCCCCGCUGCAAGUGGAAACUUCCUGCCUCCGACAUGGAGAAAUCUAAUGUCCAAUCCUGAAUCGCCUAUUAUCGAUUUCUACCCUAUCGAUUUCCAGAUUGAUUUGAAUGGAAAGAAGUACGCUUGGCAAGGAGUUGCUCUUCUGCCAUUUGUCGACGAGAAGCGUCUCUUAGAUGCUCUCGCCAAGGUGUACCCAGACAUUACUGAGCAAGAAGCUAAGCGUAAUUCUCUUGGAAAGGACCGUCUGUAUCUACGACAAGGCAAUCCAGCAUUUGACUUUUUAACAGCCACUUGAUCUGGUACCCGAUCUGGCUCAAGGAAUGUCUGGUAAAGUACAACCAGAAGAUGACCGGCCCAUAUUACCAAACACUGUUGUUCGGUCACCGAUACCAGGACAAUAUGACU